AGUCCGAUGGUGUAAUGGUAGCACAGGAGUUUUUGGUUCUCCUUGUCCAGGUUCAAAUCCUGGUCGGACUA
RNAcentral lists this transfer RNA (71 nucleotides) under Opitutales bacterium. Its description in RNAcentral is "tRNA-Gln". It matches the Rfam family "tRNA". Rfam says of the family: Transfer RNA (tRNA) molecules are approximately 80 nucleotides in length. Their secondary structure includes four short double-helical elements and three loops (D, anti-codon, and T loops). Lineage: Bacteria; Pseudomonadati; Verrucomicrobiota; Opitutia; Opitutales. RNAcentral also lists the same sequence under 1 other name. The record is from RNAcentral.